Molecule: long non-coding RNA, 4029 nt
Organism: Dunckerocampus dactyliophorus (ringed pipefish)
Lineage: Eukaryota; Metazoa; Chordata; Actinopteri; Syngnathiformes; Syngnathidae
Exons: 3
Source: RefSeq, a predicted model, not a curated record
ACAGAUAAGUUUACACUGCAACAGUUUCACCACAAAAUGUGUUUGUCUAUCCUAACGUUAGCAGGCCGCUUCCUGGUUUGUGACGUAAGAAAUGACGAAGUCAUUUGUAUUCGUUUUUAUUGGGAUAAUGAUUCCAUAAUGACUUAAAUGGGGAAAUGAUAAACCAAUUUAAUUAGACAAAUUAGACCAAAGUAAACAAAAUAUAGGGUGUUGUUUUGUGUUUAUACGUCGGCAGGCUCCUUCCUGGUUCGUGAAUGACGUAAGAGGCUAGAAAUACACGGCGGGACUCUUCGGUUGCGGUCAGGUGCCAGGAAUCUAUUCUCUUCGGCGACAAAAGAAAACAAACGACUUUAUCUUCAUUUGCAGCAAAACUAUUUAGCGUUUGAUGGCGGUAUCACAGCACAUGCGGCUUCCUUGUGCGUAGUUACUGAAAAAAUAGUAAGAUAAAGCUCACCAGGGUUAAAAAGCACCAAGUAUUUAAGGCAGACAAACUCUUGUCUGUCAAAAUGGAGGACCUUCAGUUUGGACACCAGAUCCUGCGUCCUGGUCACCAAACCACUCAGUGUAGCUCCAGCCUGCGAGAUGAUGGUUGACAGCUCUAUCUGCUCCAGAUUGAAAGAUGCAUUAGGUCACUUGUCUGCAGAGGUGGUCCAGGACCAGCAGCUCACUCCAGCAGCUCUGCAGCAGAACCAUCUGGUCUUCUACCUGUAUGUCUGGUGAUGCAGUCCGGCGUAGGGAAGCGGCAGAGGAGGGGCCACCCUGUCAUCACCCACAGUGCAGUCAAAAGGUAAGUGUGCACCAGACACCCCCAUUCCAGAGGGAUACAUCAAGUGAGGCUGAUGGAAAGCAUCCGGAGACACUGGAGCGCUUGUGUGGUUGCACAUGAUUGGACAGUCACUUGCAGCGGCAGGCCAUAGCCUUUGCGUUACUUCCAUUUUGAUUCUAUAGGGGGCAGCAUUUGUCUGGGGUUGCACUUUUUGUUCUUUCAUCUGCCUGUAGAGAGGCCCAAAUUUAUUCCUGCCGCCUCUCAUGCGGUCCGCUCUCACUGCUGAACACAAAAGUGGACAAACAGAAGGCCAUUACCGGAAAUAGCACUUUUUUUUCCAAUAGCUGAGCUUAUCUCUGCCUUAUAAAAUCAUCUUAUGUAAACUGGGUCAUUACCAGCACCGCUCGUAUGCGUGCCAGUGGAACAAAAGUCAAGUUGACAGGAGCAAAGUGCAUUGUGUGAUGAUCGUUCUACCUUCUUUCUUCAUGCCCACUGCCAAACACUUCUGGAAGCGGCAGGAAGGACAGCGCUUCCUCUGGGAGACGUCCAUGGGGCAGCUCUGUCCUUCUGCACAGGUGUAGUGUUUGUCGUUCUGCACAGAGCGCUUAAAGAAACCCUGCAAAGACGAACGUUAUCACGUUAUGUUACGUUAGUAGACCUUUGUGACUUACAGCAUGUUGCCACAUUGUCAUCACAGGUUUUACCUUGCAGCUCUCGCAGGUGAGCAGGCCGUAGUGGUACCCUGAAACUUUGUCUCCACACACGGGACAGCCCUCGUUGGGCUCAGGCCUUGCGUCUCGGGGCUCCAUACUGUGCUCUUGGGCUGAGGAACCACAGUAAAAACAUUACGCUUAAAGAUACAGACUUUAUUUAGCACAGGGGUUUCCAAACUCUAAUAUUGUGGGCUUCCCUCCAAGAUGUUCCAACAUUUCAAGGCUAUUCUUAAAUAUUGUUUCCGUACAGCGGAGCCCAUCCACAUGCUCCUUUCGAUGAGCACAGACUGUACUCUUUUUGUUGCCAUAUAGUGGGCUUCCUCCAGUUUUCAGUGGCAUUCUGUUUUCUUUCCAAUACCUACCUAUCUUGCCUAAAAAACCCUGCUGUAGCUUGUUAAAAUCUGAGAUAGUUGAAGUUGUGAAAUGGAGGUUCCAAGCUGUACUGAUAACACAUGUACAGUAUUCUACUGUAAUGGGAUUUCCCGUUUUUCUUUCCAUUUACAGUACUGUGCAAAGGUCAAAAUACUUUUUUCACAGCAGUCCUUUUGACAUAGUAAAACAGUAAAUGGUAGGACAAAUAGUUAGCGGGAUGACGUAAAAGACACAAAACGUGGACUUAAUGAGCCCCUCCACCCCCAAAAUAAAAAUAAUGACAGGAUCCAGGAAGUAGCCUGUAACCUAACAAACACAAAUAUGAUGCUCUAGAAGUAUUUUUUUUCCCCACUUUUUGAAACCAUUUAGCCUUGGAGGAGGUCGGAUGUUGCAGUUGGGUGAGCGGUUACGAGUUUGGUCUGCAACCAAAUGGCCGCAGGUUAAAAGGUAAAGCCCCAUAGGCAAGUGUGUGAAAUGCACAUAAAUGCUAAUUCAUGACAAUAAUACUUGUUGACGUAUUGAAAUGACAAGUUCAGUAUAAAAAUAGAAGACGGUGCUGUGAUGCACGUGUGUGGUUUAGUACUCAACGGCAGAGAGAAGAGCGCACUACUGUCGGUUACGCCGCCAUCAUUCAGUUUGCUAUGCUUCAUCAUGGAUAUGACGUGUGCAUAAUUCAUACUGGCCUACUGUGGAUUACACUGGAAGAUGGCAAUUCCCUCCCGAAAUGUAAGCAUAUUGAAAUGAUGCUAAUGCAGUACACUCACCAGUCAUUUCAUUUGGUACACCAGCUCUUAUCUAAUCCAAUGCAAAAAAAAAAUCUGCUUUUAUAAAGAUGAUAAUGUUUGGAGUGACACUGUCCCUGUCAGUUUGCAGUUGUGUAGAAGUUGAGAAGUUAAUAAUGUAAUCAUCCAUUAGAAACAGCUCUGAGUGUGAUGCAUGCUGUGGUUUUACUCCACUACAAACCAUAAUAAUUGUGAAUGAAUUAAAAUGACAACUGGAUGCUUCUUUGACUGUGUCAGUGUAUUGGGCUGUCCCCAUGGUGCACCCGCAGCUUCUACUCACAUGUUGAUGCUCCUUCUAAAGUGAACAUGUCAUCAAGGUAGCCGACUGCCUGUGCUCCAGGAGCAUGCUGCUGCUCCUGGGAAUGAUCAGGGAUGUCCAUUCUGCCUGAAGGUGCUCCACUGUCAGUCCAUUUGGAUCUGCUAUGAGGACAGUGGGGCGCACAGUGCGGGAGAGCCGGCACGCAGCCCCGAGUGCCCUGGAUGGACUGACAACCGUUUGAGGCCUACGUGUGGACUUCGGUCUGUCGACCCUGUCAUAAAACCUCUCCUGACUGGCACUCCUAGCCUAUGUGAGAGCAGCGUGUAGACGGUCAGAUAGCCACCUGCUGGAAUGUUACUGAAGUGAAUUCAUAGAGACAUCCUGAAGCUAAAGGCCUGAUAAGAUAACACUCCACUAAAUAGUGCACCACUGCAUAUUCCCAUUUCAUAUCUUCAUUUCUUCCUUUGUAUUGUGUCUUGUUUAUGGAGUCGCCAAGGAAGUGCGCUGCUCUUACGAAACAAGUGCUCCCCUAUGAUGCAAAUAAUGCAGAUGUGCUUACUUAUGUAUAUUACAGUUGUGGCAACAUUUUGCUUGAUGGCGGCCAUGUUUUUCAACAAAUCUUGCUUAAAAAAAAAGGACAAAAAGUAAAACAUGCUUGUCAGUCUCCUAAAGGUGUCUGCCAAAUUUUAUGGUGAUCCGGCUAAAUGCACGAAAGUUACACUGGAUCUUUUUUAGAGUGCAUUGAGCUGUGUGAGAAAUUUCAAGUCAGUCCCAUUUAUGGGGGUCAAAUUUGGGAGGUUUAAAAGCUGUCCCACUAUGUCAGAAAAACAAAUAGAACAGUCAAUACAGUAGAUCAGUGGUUCCCAAACUUUUUAAGUCACAUACCCCUUCAGACAUUUGACCAGAAGCCUUGCAUCCCCUACUUCUAGCACUUAAAAAAACAUAAACCUUUUUAUCUUAAUUAACUUGAAAUAUUGAACAUAAUUUAUUGGUUAAUUGAUUUCAUAGUAAUUCCAGGUCAAAAAUGUGUAAUUUGCAUGGUGACAUUUUGCUAAAGUUCCACAUGAGCAAUGAUAAAUGUAUAAGUAAUUAUCCAUCAUAUCUUUUAUUCUUGUUUUUAGUCUGAUGUUGGCAUCC